Molecule: ribosomal RNA, 253 nt
Filed under: uncultured bacterium
Lineage: Bacteria
Description: partial 16S ribosomal RNA
Rfam family: Bacterial small subunit ribosomal RNA
Source: RNAcentral
GACGAACCGAGCGAACGUUGUUCGGAAUCACUGGGCUUAAAGGGCGCGUAGGCGGGCUGCCGCGUCCGGGGUGAAAGCCUCCCGCUCAACGGGAGAACGGCCUCGGAUACGGGCGGCCUCGAGGGGGGUAGGGGCACCUGGAACUGUGGGUGGAGCGGUGAAAUGCGUUGAUAUCCACAGGAACUCCGGUGGCGAAGGCGAGGUGCUGGACCCCAUCUGACGCUGAGGCGCGAAAGCCAGGGGAGCGAACAGG